RNAcentral lists this ribosomal RNA (498 nucleotides) under uncultured bacterium. RNAcentral's name for it is "partial 16S ribosomal RNA". It matches the Rfam family "Bacterial small subunit ribosomal RNA", at positions 29 to 507 of the family's 1533-position model. The record is from RNAcentral.
ACGAACGCUGGCGGCGUGCCUAAUACAUGCAAGUCGAGCGAAGUUUUUCUGGUGCUUGCACCGGAAAACCUUAGCGGCGAACGGGUGAGUAACACGUAAAGAACCUGCCUCAUAGACUGGGACAACUAUUGGAAACGAUAGCUAAUACCGGAUAAUAGCAUUAACUGCAUGGUUGAUGUUUAAAAGUUGGUUUUGCUAACACUAUGAGAUGGCUUUGCGGUGCAUUAGCUAGUUGGUGGGGUAAAGGCCUACCAAGGCGACGAUGCAUAGCCGACCUGAGAGGGUGAUCGGCCACACUGGGACUGAGACACGGCCCAGACUCCUACGGGAGGCAGCAGUAGGGAAUCUUCCGCAAUGGGCGAAAGCCUGACGGAGCAACGCCGCGUGAGUGAAGAAGGAUUUCGGUUCGUAAAGCUCUGUUGUUAGGGAAGAAUGAUUGUGUAGUAACUAUACACAGUAGAGACGGUACCUAACCAGAAAGCCACGGCUAACUACGUG